CCGGUUGAUCCUGCCAGACCUGACUGCUAUCGGAUUGAUACUAAGCCAUGCGAGUCUUUGUAGUAAUACAAGGCAGACGGCUCAGUAACACGUAGUCAACCUACCCUAUGGACGAGAAUAAUCUCGGGAAACUGAGCAUAAUUCUUGAUAGAUCAUAAUGCCUGGAAUGGUUUAUGGUUAAAAUGAUUCGUCGCCAUAGGAUGGGACUGCGGCCUAUCAGCUUGUUGGUGAGGUAAUGGCCCACCAAGGCGAUUACAGGUACGGGCUCUGAGAGGAGAAGCCCGGAGAUGGGUACUGAGACACGGACCCAGGCCCUAUGGGGCGCAGCAGGCGAGAAAACUUUGCAAUGUGCGAAAGCACGACAAGGUUAAUCCGAGUGAUUUCUGCUAAAGAAAUCUUUUGCCAGUCGUAAAACCGCUGGUGAAUAAGGGGUGGGCAAGUUCUGGUGCCAGCAGCCGCGGUAAU
This 465-nucleotide ribosomal RNA is filed under the name uncultured archaeon. RNAcentral describes it as "bacterial SSU rRNA". It matches the Rfam family "Archaeal small subunit ribosomal RNA", at positions 4 to 474 of the family's 1478-position model. The record is from RNAcentral.